This 1522-nucleotide ribosomal RNA is filed under the name Salmonella enterica. RNAcentral's name for it is "partial 23S ribosomal RNA". It matches the Rfam family "Bacterial large subunit ribosomal RNA", at positions 711 to 2213 of the family's 2925-position model. Lineage: Bacteria; Pseudomonadati; Pseudomonadota; Gammaproteobacteria; Enterobacterales; Enterobacteriaceae. RNAcentral also lists the same sequence under 1 other name. The record is from RNAcentral.
AGACCCGAAACCCGGUGAUCUAGCCAUGGGCAGGUUGAAGGUUGGGUAACACUAACUGGAGGACCGAACCGACUAAUGUUGAAAAAUUAGCGGAUGACCUGUGGCUGGGGGUGAAAGGCCAAUCAAACCGGGAGAUAGCUGGUUCUCCCCGAAAGCUAUUUAGGUAGCGCCUCGUGAAUUCAUCUCCGGGGGUAGAGCACUGUUUCGGCCAGGGGGCCAUCCCGGCUUACCAAUCCGAUGCAAACUGCGAAUACCGGAGAAUGUUAUCACGGGAGACACACGGCGGGUGCUAACGUCCGUCGUGAAGAGGGAAACAACCCAGACCGCCAGCUAAGGUCCCAAAGUCAUGGUUAAGUGGGAAACGAUGUGGGAAGGCCCAGACAGCCAGGAUGUUGGCUUAGAAGCAGCCAUCAUUUAAAGAAAGCGUAAUAGCUCACUGGUCGAGUCGGCCUGCGCGGAAGAUGUAACGGGGCUAAACCAUGCACCGAAGCUGCGGCAGCGACACUGAUGUGUUGUUGGGUAGGGGAGCGUUCUGUAAGCCGUUGAAGGUGGCCUGUGAGGGUUGCUGGAGGUAUCAGAAGUGCGAAUGCUGACAUAAGUAACGAUAAAGCGGGUGAAAAGCCCGCUCGCCGGAAGACCAAGGGUUCCUGUCCAACGUUAAUCGGGGCAGGGUGAGUCGACCCCUAAGGCGAGGCCGAAAGGCGUAGUCGAUGGGAAACGGGUUAAUAUUCCCGUACUUGGUGUUACUGCGAAGGGGGGACGGAGAAGGCUAUGUUGGCCGGGCGACGGUUGUCCCGGUUUAAGCGUGUAGGUGUGUGUUCCAGGUAAAUCCGGUUCACUUUAACACUGAGGCGUGAUGACGAGGCACCACGGUGCUGAAGCAACAAAUGCCCUGCUUCCAGGAAAAGCCUCUAAGCCUCAGGUAACAUCAAAUCGUACCCCAAACCGACACAGGUGGUCAGGUAGAGAAUACCAAGGCGCUUGAGAGAACUCGGGUGAAGGAACUAGGCAAAAUGGUGCCGUAACUUCGGGAGAAGGCACGCUGACACGUAGGUGAAGUGGUUUACCCAUGGAGCUGAAGUCAGUCGAAGAUACCAGCUGGCUGCAACUGUUUAUUAAAAACACAGCACUGUGCAAACACGAAAGUGGACGUAUACGGUGUGACGCCUGCCCGGUGCCGGAAGGUUAAUUGAUGGGGUCAGCGCAAGCGAAGCUCCUGAUCGAAGCCCCGGUAAACGGCGGCCGUAACUAUAACGGUCCUAAGGUAGCGAAAUUCCUUGUCGGGUAAGUUCCGACCUGCACGAAUGGCGUAAUGAUGGCCAGGCUGUCUCCACCCGGGACUCAGUGAAAUUGAACUCGCUGUGAAGAUGCAGUGUACCCGCGGCAAGACGGAAAGACCCCGUGAACCUUUACUAUAGCUUGACACUGAACACUGGUCCUUGAUGUGCAGGAUAGGUGGGAGGCUUUGAAGUGUGGACGCCAGUCUGCAUGGAGCCAUCCUUGAAAUACCACCCUUUAAUGG